UACGUAGGCAGCGAGCGUUGUUCGGAGUUACUGGGCGUAAAGCGUGCGUAGGCGGUGCCAUAAGUCUGUUGUGAAAUCUCCCGGCUUAACUGGGAGGGUGCGGUGGAAACUGUGGUGCUGGAGUGUGGGAGAGGUAGGCGGAAUUCCUGGUGUAGCGGUGAAAUGCGCAGAUAUCAGGAGGAACACCGGUGGCGAAGGCGGGUCUCUGGGCCGAUACUGACGCUGAGGAGCGAAAGCGUGGGGAGCGAACAGG
RNAcentral lists this ribosomal RNA (253 nucleotides) under uncultured bacterium. RNAcentral's name for it is "partial 16S ribosomal RNA". It matches the Rfam family "Bacterial small subunit ribosomal RNA", at positions 524 to 776 of the family's 1533-position model. The record is from RNAcentral.